This 1552-nucleotide long non-coding RNA is filed under the name Anser brachyrhynchus (Pink-footed goose). RNAcentral describes it as "lncRNA (ENSABRG00000008996.1)". The record is from RNAcentral. Lineage: Eukaryota; Metazoa; Chordata; Aves; Anseriformes; Anatidae.
UGCCACCUUAAAAAUCACAUUCCUCUUAAUGUAAAUCACAGCUUAAAUGUUUGUUGUUUUGUUGUUGUUUGGUUGACCUUUUCUUUCUUUCUUUUUUUUUUUUUUCAUUGACAUUGUAAAUGCACCCUAUUCUCAUCCAUACUUGCUUUGCAUUGUACCAGCUAAACAUCCCGCCAGAUCCUUUUAACCUUUUGGAAAGUGCUGAAUCUGUGGGUAAUUUUCAUGUAGCUGUGGUCCUCUGACUCCUUCCCUAUGACCUUGAAGUUCAACAUAAGUUGCAUGUCAGCACAGCCAAGUCUUCACAAACAAGUUGCUAUGCUCAUCUGACCCCAAACUGAAGGAUGCCCCCCACCUUUUUCCACAACAGGAAAAUAUGCCCUUAGGCAUAUAUCUACCCUCACGCAUAUUUCUACCCUCACACUUAGUAUGCUGCCAAAACCACAUUUGCCUCCCUGCAUCCAGAAAAUGCUGCACUCAGCCAUCCUGGGGUGGAUGAGCUCAGAUGGCACAAAGCACUUAAGGACACUGCAGUACGGUGAGGUAAGAGGAUAACCUGGGAUAAAUGGUUAAAUUGUUUUUUAAGUAGCUUAAUUAUUUCUAACUCAUCCAUGUAGCAAAUUAUUGUAACUGGUUACAUGAAGACAGUGACAGAACUUUAGUGGCCACAAUCACUAACCAAAGUCUUGGUGAACAAAGGUGUAGUUGAGCCAGUACCAGUGAUUGUUCUUUCUGUGUAAAACAUGGGAAAAAUAUUUAAUAUACUUUAUUGUUAGCUUAUAUCCCUGUGGUGGAAAACCAACGAAGUAUUAUUGGGUGUGUAACUUUUAAAUGUAUUUUUCUUCUUUUCUGCCAAUGUUGUGGGAAGAGUAAGUAGCUUUCAAAGAUUCUGGUCUUUGACUUCAGCUUCCUCAAAUCCCAAAGCAGACUUUUUCAAUUCUAGUAAAAUUAUCUUCAUUUUUCAAACCUUGCUUUAUCUGUAUGGCUGGCGAUUACCUCAGCUCUGUAUUUCACCAAAAAUAAGAUUACUUUUAUACAGUUAGUAUAAAGACAUUAGUAUGUCUGCAAGAAAAAUAGACUUUAGUUAAUAAUGUAUCUAUGGAAAUUAUGUUAAUGUAGCUUACUGCAUUACCUCUACAUCAGUAGUAAUUUACAUUAAUAAUUAGAAAUUGAAGUUGUGACUAGAUUCUGAGCAAGAGAAAGUGGCUUUUGAUUUGAACCCAAACGGCUAAAAGGCAUUUCCUUUAAUUUUGGAUCAACUGUCAAAAAAGCAAGAUUAAAACCCAUACUAUAUAAUUUCCUCUGCUCCCUCGAACACUGGAUGUUGACAUUAUUCCAUCCCAAUUUAUCAAGAGUUAUUUUUCUACUAUAUGUAAUAAUGAUGACACUCCUUUUUUCAAGAUUUUAUGUUUUGCGUGAGUGAGUAUGCACAUGCAGAUAUGGACAAUUUCAUGCACAUAGUGUGAGACUGGGUUUCUGUCUGUAUCAAUCUGUGCUUUAUGAUGAAUUUUACCUUUAGAGAUUUCUCUGAGUAUCCUCAGUUUCUUUCUAGAAU